RNAcentral lists this transfer RNA (86 nucleotides) under Didymella exigua CBS 183.55. It matches the Rfam family "tRNA". From Rfam's summary of the family: Transfer RNA (tRNA) molecules are approximately 80 nucleotides in length. Their secondary structure includes four short double-helical elements and three loops (D, anti-codon, and T loops). The record is from Rfam by way of RNAcentral. Lineage: Eukaryota; Fungi; Ascomycota; Dothideomycetes; Pleosporales; Didymellaceae.
GGUCGCUUAGCUCAGUUGGUUAGAGCGUGGUGCUAAUAGUAUACCUUGAUACGCCAAGGUCGCGAGUUCGACCCUCGUAGUGACCA